GAAUCAGUUUGGAGUGGGCAAAUCUAUUGUGGGUGCUGCUGUGAUUCAAGUAGCCAACGCAAUCACUAAGCUGUUGCUAUCAAGGAUAGUGACUCAGGGAAAUGUGCAGGUCAUAGGGAAUCCCAUUGGAGC
Molecule: long non-coding RNA, 132 nt
Organism: Gopherus evgoodei (Goodes thornscrub tortoise)
Lineage: Eukaryota; Metazoa; Chordata; Testudines; Testudinidae
Exons: 3
Source: RefSeq, a predicted model, not a curated record